CACAAUCCACUGCCUUGAUCCACUUGGCUACAUCCGCCCU
This 40-nucleotide transfer RNA is filed under the name Fabaceae sp. ITV3723. RNAcentral describes it as "partial tRNA-His". The record is from RNAcentral. Lineage: Eukaryota; Viridiplantae; Streptophyta; Magnoliopsida; Fabales; Fabaceae.